UAAGACCUGCGCUUUUGGAGCGGCCGAUGUCUGAUUAGCUUGUUGGUAAGGUAAAAGCUUACCAAGGCUUCGAUCAGUAGCUGGUCUGAGAGGACGGCCAGCCACACUGGGACUGAGACACGGCCCAGACUCCUACGGGAGGCAGCAGUGGGGAAUUUUGGACAAUGGGGGCAACCCUGAUCCAGCCAUGCCGCGUGAGUGAAGAAGGCCUUCGGGUUGUAAAGCUCUUUCAGCCGGAACGAAACGGUUACGGUUAAUACCCGUGACUACCGACGGUACCGGAAGAAGAAGCACCGGCUAACUACGUGCCAGCAGCCGCGGUAAUACGUAGGGUGCAAGCGUUAAUCGGAAUUACUGGGCGUAAAGCGUGCGCAGGUGGUUUUGUAAGUCAGAUGUGAAAUCCCCGGGCUUAACCUGGGAACU
RNAcentral lists this ribosomal RNA (423 nucleotides) under uncultured bacterium. RNAcentral's name for it is "bacterial SSU rRNA". It matches the Rfam family "Bacterial small subunit ribosomal RNA", at positions 207 to 622 of the family's 1533-position model. The record is from RNAcentral.